CGUGCYUAAUACAUGCAAGUCGAGCGGAUCUUWAUUAGCUUGCUUUUGAAGAUCAGCGGCGGACGGGUGAGUAACACGUGGGCAACCUGCCUGUAAGACUGGGAUAACUUCGGGAAACCGGAGCUAAUACCGKAUAAUCCUUUCCCUCACAUGAGGGAAAGCUKAAAGACGGUUUCGGCUGUYACUUACAGAUGGGCCCGCGGCGCAUUAGCUAGUUGGUGAGGUAACGGCUCACCAAGGCAACGAUGCGUAGCCGACCUGAGAGGGUGAUCGGCCACACUGGGACUGAGACACGGCCCAGACUCUACGGGAGGCAGCAGUAGGGAAUCUUCCGCAAUGGACGAAAGUCUGACGGAGCAACGCCGCGUGAACGAUGAAGGCUUUCGGGUCGUAAAGUUCUGUUGUCAGGGAAGAACAAGUAUCGGAGUAACUGCCGGUACCUUGACGGUACCUGACCAGAAAGCCACGGCUAACUACGUGCCAGCAGCCGCGGUAAUACGUAGGUGGCAAGCGUUGUCCGGAAUUAUUGGGCGUAAAGCGCGCGCAGGCGGUUCCUUAAGUCUGAUGUGAAAGCCCCCGGCUCAACCGGGGAGGGUCAUUGGAAACUGGGGAACUUGAGUGCAGAAGAGGAGAGCGGAAUUCCACGUGUAGCGGUGAAAUGCGUAGAGAUGUGGAGGAACACCAGUGGCGAAGGCGGCUCUCUGGUCUGUAACUGACGCUGAGGCGCGAAAGCGUGGGGAGCGAACAGGAUUAGAUACCCUGGUAGUCCACGCCGUAAACGAUGAGUGCUAAGUGUUAGAGGGUUUCCGCCCUUUAGUGUGCAGCAAACGCAUUAA
Molecule: ribosomal RNA, 836 nt
Filed under: Bacillus sp. J101
Lineage: Bacteria; Bacillati; Bacillota; Bacilli; Caryophanales; Bacillaceae
Description: bacterial SSU rRNA
Rfam family: Bacterial small subunit ribosomal RNA
Source: RNAcentral